GUCUGCCGUGAAAGUCCGGGGCUCAACUCCGGAUCUGCGGUGGGUACGGGCAGACUAGAGUGAUGUCAGGGAGACUGGAAUUCCUGGUGUAGCGGUGAAAUGCGCAGAUAUCAGGAGGAACACCGAUGGCGAAGGCAGGUCUCUGGGCAUUAACUGACGCUGAGGAGCGAAAGCAUGGGGAGCGAACAGGAUUAGAUACCCUGGUAGUCCAUGCCGUAAACGUUGGGCACUAGGUGUGGGGGACAUUCCACGUUUUCCGCGCCGUAGCUAACGCAUUAAGUGCCCCGCCUGGGGAGUACGGCCGCAAGGCUAAAACUCAAAGGAAUUGACGGGGGCCCGCACAAGCGGCGGAGCAUGCGGAUUAAUUCGAUGCAACGCGAAGAACCUUACCAAGGCUUGACAUGGACCGGACCGGGCUGGAAACAGUCCUUCCCCUUUGGGGCCGGUUCACAGGUGGUGCAUGGUUGUCGUCAGCUCGUGUCGUGAGAUGUUGGGUUAAGUCCCGCAACGAGCGCAACCCUNGUUCCAUGUUGCCAGCGCGUAAUGGCGGGGACUCAUGGGAGACUGCCGGGGUCAAUUCGGAGGAAGGUGGGGACGACGUCAAAUCAUCAUGCCCCUUAUGUCUUGGGCUUCACGCAUGCUACAAUGGCCGGUACAAAGGGUUGCGAUACUGUGAGGUGGAGCUAAUCCCAAAAAGCCGGUCUCAGUUCGGAUUGGGGUCUGCAACUCGACCCCAUGAAGUCGGAGUCGCUAGUAAUCGCAGAUCANCANCGCUGCGGUGAAUACGUUCCCGGGCCUUGUACACACCGCCCGUCAAGUCACGAAAGUUGGUAACACCCGAAGCCGGUGGCCUAACCCCUUGUGGAGGGAGCUGUCCAAGGUGG
Molecule: ribosomal RNA, 884 nt
Filed under: uncultured bacterium
Lineage: Bacteria
Description: bacterial SSU rRNA
Rfam family: Bacterial small subunit ribosomal RNA
Source: RNAcentral